Molecule: long non-coding RNA, 296 nt
Filed under: Vigna radiata
Lineage: Eukaryota; Viridiplantae; Streptophyta; Magnoliopsida; Fabales; Fabaceae
Description: long non-coding RNA (VRAD_LNC015381)
Source: RNAcentral
CCAAAACGAAACAUAAUUAAGAACAGGACCACAACAAAGACAAUGUUAUUAGGGGGACCACAACAGAAGACACUAAGGGGGACAACAAGACAACAAACUUCCAUUGGGGGACCCCAACUACAUAAAAUAAUUGAUAAAAAAUGCACCUUGCACCUUUUUGCUUCGAAAUAUCACGCUCACGAAUCCUAUUCUUCAUCAAUCCUUUUCGGCCACGAACCUCCUUCAAUCACCAAACUCCUUCGCUGACCAUCCACCUUUGUUCAGAGAACUAAUGCUCACACCAAAUCAACCCUCGU